This 104-nucleotide small nuclear RNA is filed under the name Procavia capensis (Cape rock hyrax). Lineage: Eukaryota; Metazoa; Chordata; Mammalia; Hyracoidea; Procaviidae. The record is from RNAcentral.
GUGCUCUUUGGCAGUAUAUAUACUAAAAUAAGAAGACACAGAGACAGUUAUCAAAGCCUCUGUGCAAUGAUGAUACACAAAUUCAUGAGGCAUUGUGUGUUUUA